This 579-nucleotide ribosomal RNA is filed under the name Botryosphaeria dothidea. RNAcentral's name for it is "eukaryotic LSU rRNA". The stretch from base 207 to 360 matches the Rfam family "5.8S ribosomal RNA". Lineage: Eukaryota; Fungi; Ascomycota; Dothideomycetes; Botryosphaeriales; Botryosphaeriaceae. The record is from RNAcentral.
GUAGGUGAACCUGCGCAAGGUUCAUUACCGAGUUGAUUCGGGCUCCGGCCCGAUCCUCCCACCCUUUGUGUACCUACCUCUGUUGCUUUGGCGGGCCGCGGUUCUCCGCGGCCGCCCCCCUCCCCGGGGGGUGGCCAGCGCCCGCCAGAGGACCAUCAAACUCCAGUCAGUAAACGAUGCAGUCUGAAAAACAUUUAAUAAACUAAAACUUUCAACAACGGAUCUCUUGGUUCUGGCAUCGAUGAAGAACGCAGCGAAAUGCGAUAAGUAAUGUGAAUUGCAGAAUUCAGUGAAUCAUCGAAUCUUUGAACGCACAUUGCGCCCUUUGGUAUUCCGAAGGGCAUGCCUGUUCGAGCGUCAUUACAACCCUCAAGCUCUGCUUGGUAUUGGGCACCGUCCUUUGCGGGCGCGCCUCAAAGACCUCGGCGGUGGCGUCUUGCCUCAAGCGUAGUAGAACAUACAUCUCGCUUCGGAGCGCAGGGCGUCGCCCGCCGGACGAACCUUCUGAACUUUUCUCAAGGUUGACCUCGGAUCAGGUAGGGAUACCCGCUGAACUUAAGCAUAUCAAUAAGCGGAGGA